AAGAGGAUCUGGUCUGAAUAUGACCCUGGGGCCAAGUAUGCCCUCUAUACCCUUACCUAGAAUCCAGGGGACAAUGUACUGCCCUACACAGUCACCUAGCCCCCAAACUUCCGACUGCUGCAUCCCAUUACCCAGUCAAUAGAUGCCCCAAAGUUUCCACUGCCCCGUCCUCUGCCCUCUUUGACUGCCCUCCAGUUCUUCCCUGGAAAGCUCUGGGGUAUUGGUAGGAGGAGGUAGUGAUGAGCUGGUGGGGCCUUGAGAAAGGGCUAGUGGGGGCAUGGCCAAUCCAGUGGUACCUCCCCAACUCCUCCAGGGGCCGCAUCAAACACUUGGAUGUGGUUGCCCUGCUGAGACGUAUCCAGCCCCCUCUGGGAUUCGGGAAGCUGUGCCCACACCGAGUGGCCUGCAAGAGACUUGUGGCAAUGAACAUGCCCCUCAACUCAGAUGGGACGGUGACAUUCAACGCCACACUCUUUGCCCUGGUCCGGACAUCCCUGAAGAUCAAAACAGAAGGGAACCUGGAGCAAGCCAACCAGGAGCUGCGGAUUGUCAUCAAAAAGAUCUGGAAGCGGAUGAAACAGAAGCUGUUAGAUGAGGUCAUCCCCCCACCAGACGAGGAGGAGGUCACCGUGGGCAAAUUCUACGCCACAUUUCUGAUCCAGGACUAUUUCCGCAAAUUCCGGCGGAGGAAAGAAAAAGGGCUACUAGGCAAUG
Molecule: small RNA, 714 nt
Filed under: Pongo abelii (Sumatran orangutan)
Lineage: Eukaryota; Metazoa; Chordata; Mammalia; Primates; Hominidae
Description: retained intron
Source: RNAcentral